GACGAACGCUGGCGGCGUGCCUAAUACAUGCAAGUCGAACGCAGUGGGGACGGGUGAGUAACACGUGGGUAACCUCCCAUCAGAGGGGAUAACACUUGGAAACAGGUGCUAAACCGAUACUGAUGGAUGGACCCGCGGUGCAUUAGCUAGUUGGUGAGGUAACGGCUCACCAAGGCCACGAUGCAUAGCCGACAUGAGAGGGUGUUCAGCCAGAAUGGGACUGAGACACGGCCCAGACGCCGAAGGGAGGCAGCAGUAGGGAAUCUGCGGCAAUGUACGAAAGUCUGACCGAUCAACGCCGCGUGAGUGAAGAAGGUUUUCGUAUAGUAAAACUCUGUUGUUAGAGAAGCGGUAUCUAACCAGAAAGCCACGGCUAACUACGUGCCAGCCGCCGCGGUAAUAC
This 403-nucleotide ribosomal RNA is filed under the name uncultured bacterium. Its description in RNAcentral is "partial 16S ribosomal RNA". It matches the Rfam family "Bacterial small subunit ribosomal RNA", at positions 28 to 526 of the family's 1533-position model. The record is from RNAcentral.